This is a long non-coding RNA of Amphiprion ocellaris (clown anemonefish), 835 nucleotides long. RefSeq lists it as uncharacterized. The transcript has 4 exons. The record is from RefSeq and is a predicted model, not a curated record. NCBI's taxonomy places the organism in Eukaryota, Metazoa, Chordata, Actinopteri, Pomacentridae.
GGAAUGAAAUGGUCCGGUUUAUUUCCUCUUCGUGUGUGGAUUGUAUGUUUCCUGUGUCGUCCAUGUUGUUCAGAUGAUCAGUGAGUUCUUGUGUGUGUCCAGAUUUUAUUAUUUCCAGGAUGUCGUGGACGUAUCUUCUCCAGAGUGUGGGUCUGCAAAGCGGGGAUGGCUUUGGUUUCCAGGUCCUCCAUGAAAAAGUUACUCGUUAUGGCUGAAAGUGGAUCUUUUUUUCAACUUUAUUUUACCAGCAUUAAAACUUUGUCUGCAGAGAGAAAAGAACGACUCCGUUUUUUGCCAGACUGGAGGAUGUUGGAGGGAGUCUGUUAAUCUCUCUGGACCUGACAUUUGAAAACCUCCACCUCUCCUCACCCUCCCAGCCCACUGAUGUGAGGAAAUCCAGCUCUGAACAGACUGAACUUCUAAAUCCCUCCUGGAAGCUUCACCCUGAACAGACAACUGCAACGCCGUGGUAACGGGCAGAUUACAGCGUCAGACGUUCCUGCAGAAACCCUCAGAGCCCAGAGGGAUUCUUACCGAUGCUCAGGAGAUGGACGAGGAGAGGAAACGUUGUCCAUCCUCCAGACGGAUCUGAAGACCCGACCGGCCUCUGGGGCGGCGUUUGGUGAAGUUAUCUCUGGAGGCUGCUGGAGGAUAAAUGUGGAGAUCUGCAGAUAGAAGCCAAGAAGAUGAACGGAGCUGGAGAGGAAGAAGAUCUACAGUGGUGUUCAAAAUAAUAGCAGUCCCACAUCACUUUAUCAGGACCGUCAGUGUUGAUUUAACUUAUUUCUAAAACAGCGGCGGACUACUUCCAGCUGCGGAGGGACACCCUUUUCCA